CGUGACAAAUUGUAAACUAAAGUAUACACCAUAGUGUACAUAUAGCAAAGUUCAUUGCUCUCUCACCCAUUGAUGAACUGAAUUGCCCUAAUUGCAACGGCGGAUUACUAGAAGAAUCCCACAUCGCCCCUCUCUCAAAUCGUAAUACUUCCGACAUUGAUGAUAUCAAUAAUUCUUUUUUCUCUGGUAGUUUCCCUCCCACCGCGACUUUUGGCAGCUUCCCUUUUGUCUUCUCCUCAUCUUCGACCACUGUUGCCUCGGGUGCUGCUUCAUUUCCCAUUGGAAUAGGACUUGAAGAUCUAUCCACCGUCUUGGGUAGUGGCAACGAUCACCGUUCAGGUCGAUCUACCAAAAAAUUCAACCCAUUUACCUUUCUAAACAACUACAUUAGCAAAAUCCAAGGCUACGGUGCGAAUGUUCAGCUUGUUUUUGAAGGCCCUGAUGGAGAAUGAGUAGAUUUCCAACUUUAAAUGAAUCUCGGUGAUUAUUUUAUUAGACCAGGUUUAGAAUAAUUAAUUCGGUAACUUGUCGAGAAUGAUCCCAACCGGUACAGGACACCACGUGCAUCGAAAUUUGCAACGGAGGGUAGCCUGAUAUAAAGAUCAAGGAGGAGAUGCUGAGCUCGGAUUCAUCCCAAUGUGUCGUGUGUAAGGACAAUUACGAGUUAGAUGAGGAGGUGAGGCAGAUGUCGUGUAAACAUUGACAAGUGUAUUUUACUCACGAGUUUAAGGCAAUUUUAACUUGAUUUUAAGCUAGAUUUCACGAGUAUAAGAUGUUUUUAAUGUUUGUAUUAAUGUUGUUUUAUAGGUUUAUCGAGAUGGCGAAGGAUACAAAGAAAGAUCACUAAAUUGAAGUUAGUGGCAUGCAUGGAAAAGAAGUUGUGAUACAGGGGAAAAAUAGGCAAAGCAAAGAUGGGACGAAUGACACCAAAACUCAAUAAACCAAGAGAGAACCAGAGUGUGGGUGCCGCGACACCACAUUUAGGGCACUACGGUGCCCCACACUCCAGAACCUCGACUCCGCAGUGCUGAGAGAUAUGAGGGUUGUCGCCACGGCGCCCACCCAAACCGUUGCGACGCCAACCCGUUUAGUUUCGCGGUGCUGGGUGCACUUCGGCCCCGUUUUUUAGUGCAUAUGAAACACCUAUUAUUCAUACACGGCAAGGGACCUAUAAAAAUGAAAAAUCUCACACUUCAAGGGGCUACACACAUAAAGAGGCGAAAAAUACAUCUUGGGAGAAAAAAGGAAAGAUUCAAAGGAAGAAAACAAUGACAAAUUUAUCGUGUGAAGUAUCAAUUGGAAGAGGAAGGAAUCCUUGGUGCAAGAUUUACUUUUUCUUCUACAUCUUUAAUUCUAAAUCCGAUGAUAUAUUCUAAGACAAUUUGUUAUUUCUUUUCUUUCAUUAUGUGCAGCUAAAUCCAUUGUUAGGGUGAAUAAUGUAAGCAAUUUGGGACCCUUUAUAUUUUCUUAUUAAAAUUCUUGAUUUUUAAUUUUUCCAUGUGUUAAUUUUUGCUAUGUAUUGAUUGCAUUAAAUUAUCUGAUCAAUAACUUGAUGAAUUUUGUAAAUCCUUUACGAA
This 1577-nucleotide long non-coding RNA is filed under the name Olea europaea subsp. europaea. Lineage: Eukaryota; Viridiplantae; Streptophyta; Magnoliopsida; Lamiales; Oleaceae. The record is from RNAcentral.